Molecule: ribosomal RNA, 326 nt
Filed under: Podonomus sp. MNK-2015
Lineage: Eukaryota; Metazoa; Arthropoda; Insecta; Diptera; Chironomidae
Description: eukaryotic LSU rRNA
Rfam family: Eukaryotic large subunit ribosomal RNA
Source: RNAcentral
UUUGGGAUACCUUUGGGACCCGUCUUGAAACACGGACCAAGGAGUCUAUCUAGUAUGCGAGUAAAUGGGCACUAGAAAACCUAUUUGCGUAAAUAACUUGACUGUUAUGGGAUUACGAGCUGCACCCUGCCAUAUGGUGUGGUGCGUUCCUCCAUCCCGGGGUAUUUUUAUAUAAUGUCUUGCUAGCUCUUUGGGGCUGGKAGGUACAUASAAAAUAUACCAUGAGCACACUGGAUAUGACCCGAAAGAUGGUGAACUAUGCCUGAUCAGGUUGAAGUCAGGGGAAACCCUGAUGGAGGACCGAAGCAAUUCUGACGUGCWMAUCG